GUAUAAGAGACAGCAGUCGCCGCGGUAAUACGGAGGGUGCAAGCGUUAAUCGGAAUUACUGGGCGUAAAGCGCACGCAGGCGGUCUGACAAGUCAGAUGUGAAAUCCCCGGGCUUAACCUGGGAACUGCAUUUGAAACUGUCAGGCUGGAGUCUUGUAGAGGGGGGUGGAAUUCCAGGUGUAGCGGUGAAAUGCGUAGAGAUCUGGAGGAAUACCGGUGGCGAAGGCGGCCCCCUGGACAAAGACUGACGCUUAGGUGCGAAAGCGUGGGGAGCAAACAGGAUUAGAUACCCGGGUAGUCCCUGUCUCUUAUAU
Molecule: ribosomal RNA, 314 nt
Filed under: uncultured bacterium
Lineage: Bacteria
Description: partial 16S ribosomal RNA
Rfam family: Bacterial small subunit ribosomal RNA
Source: RNAcentral